UACGUAGGCGGACUGGAAAGUUGGGGGUGAAAUCCCGGGGCUCAACCUCGGAACUGCCUUCAAAACUAUCAGUCUAGAGUUCGAGAGAGGUGAGUGGAAUUCCAAGUGUAGAGGUGAAAUUCGUAGAUAUUUGGAGGAACACCAGUGGCGAAGGCGGCUCACUGGCUCGAUACUGACGCUGAGGUACGAAAGUGUGGGGAGCAAAACA
RNAcentral lists this ribosomal RNA (208 nucleotides) under uncultured bacterium. RNAcentral describes it as "partial 16S ribosomal RNA". It matches the Rfam family "Bacterial small subunit ribosomal RNA", at positions 568 to 775 of the family's 1533-position model. The record is from RNAcentral.